GGGCCCGCACAAGCGGUGGAGUAUGUGGUUUAAUUCGAUGCAACGCGAAGAAGCCUUACCAGGGUUUGACAUCCUGCGAAAUCUCCGUGGAAACAGGGGAGUGCCUUCGGGAACGCAGUGACAGGUGGUGCAUGGCUGUCGUCAGCUCGUGUCGUGAGAUGUUGGGUUAAGUCCCGCAACGAGCGCAACCCACGUCUUUAGUUGCCAGCAUUUAGUUGGGCACUCUAGAGAGACUGCCGGUGAUAAACCGGAGAAGGUGUGGAUGACGUCAAGUCAUCAUGCCCCUUACAUCUGGGCUACACACGUACUACAAUGCUACGGACAAAGGGCAGCAAGUUCGCGAGGACAAGCAAAUCCCAUAAACGUGGCUC
RNAcentral lists this ribosomal RNA (371 nucleotides) under uncultured bacterium. Its description in RNAcentral is "bacterial SSU rRNA". It matches the Rfam family "Bacterial small subunit ribosomal RNA", at positions 917 to 1289 of the family's 1533-position model. The record is from RNAcentral.